GUCCUUGGAUUGUACACCUCUUUUAUCAGGGAAGAAGUUCUGACGGUACCUGAUGAAUAAGCAUCGGCUAACUCCGUGCCAGCAGCCGCGGUAAUACGGAGGAUGCAAGCGUUAUCCGGAAUUAUUGGGCGUAAAGCGUCCGUAGGUGGUUAUGCAAGUCUGCCGUUAAAGAAUGGAGCUUAACUCCAUAGGAGCGGUGGAAACUGCAAGACUAGAGUACAGUAGGGGUAGCAGGAAUUCCCAGUGUAGCGGUGAAAUGCGUAGAUAUUGGGAAGAACAUCGGUGGCGAAAGCGUGCUACUGGGCUGAAACUGACACUGAGGGACGAAAGCUAGGGUAGCGAAAGGGAUUAGAUACCCC
This 359-nucleotide ribosomal RNA is filed under the name Synechocystis aquatilis I13. RNAcentral describes it as "bacterial SSU rRNA". It matches the Rfam family "Bacterial small subunit ribosomal RNA", at positions 414 to 788 of the family's 1533-position model. Lineage: Bacteria; Bacillati; Cyanobacteriota; Cyanophyceae; Synechococcales; Merismopediaceae. The record is from RNAcentral.